This is a long non-coding RNA of Callorhinus ursinus (northern fur seal), 2359 nucleotides long. RefSeq lists it as uncharacterized. The record is from RefSeq and is a predicted model, not a curated record. Lineage: Eukaryota; Metazoa; Chordata; Mammalia; Carnivora; Otariidae.
ACACCGGGCCUAGGGAGGGCGGAGGUCUGGCGGCCUUCUGGUUACCCUGGCGAUGGGCUCUUAGGUGCGGAGGCUCGGAACUAGCCGCUUUCCCCCUCCGAUACCUUAGUUUCGGGUGGUGGCCUGUGACGGGGGCCUGAGUCCCCUCUUACCAUGUCUGGCUGGCGGCGCCCCAGAUGCCACGUGAUGGUCAUUUGAAGACAGGCCUGUCGGACAUCAGGAAUCCCAAGGUCCAUACACUUGCCUUCAGGGACCUGGGCUUUCGGCUGUCAUACCUGGCCCUGGUUGAUGGCCCCGUGCUGAGCAGUGCAUGUGAAGACACACAUGGUAAGGAAAUGGCAGAGUUGCUUCUGGGACUGGAAGGAGACAGGGAAACCUGGCAGAGAGGAACAGGAUUUAGGGGCUCCGGCGUGAGAGGAGAGAGAUGAAGGUGAGUGCCUUGGAUGUCUGUACCAGUCGGGUUCACACUGCACGGGUCCGUUUAGGUGUGGAUUUUUUACGGUGUGGUACAUAAAUGUAUUUUCUUUUCCUUACAAUUUCCUUCGUCUUUUAUCUAGUUCAUUUUACUGUUAGAAUAUAGUUUAUAAGGCACAUGGCAUACGAGCUCGGGGUGAAUUGACUAAGUUAUUGGGAAGGCUUUUGGUCAACAGUAGGCCCUUAGUAAAGUUUUUGGGGAGUCAAAAGCUAUAAGCAGAUUUUUGACUGCUCGGGGUGUGUGGGGAAGGGUUGGUGCCCCUAAACACCUCCUCCCCCCACCCCCGCACUGUUUGAGGAUCAACUGUGUUUUGGCAUUGAUGGGUGUCUGUUCAUUUGUUUAUUUAUUCAAAUAUAUUUGCAUUAGACCUGAGUUUCAAUUCAGGUUCAAGCAAUAUAAUCUGGGUGUCUUAGGCUGAUUACUUAACCUCUCUGAACUUCCAUUUCUUCGCCUGUAAAAUGUGGGUGAUUCCUACCUUAUAAGUGAGAUAAUGUAUUGAAAUCACCUAGUCCAUAACAAAUGCUUGGUAAAUAAUAAUUACUGUCAUUAUGGAAGGGUUGGGGGCUGAAAAGGUCUGAGUGAUUGAAUAUCUUCUGUCUCAAACAGUGGUUAAGAAUUUAGAGACGUUUCCUCAGGGAAUUUGUAAGUGCCUGAGUUAUAUAGUGAGGGACGGGAGAGGUCGAGUAUUUCUAGUGUCACAACCAAGAGAGGCUUUCCACACAGGUUAUUUCGGGCCACUGAUUCUACAGUGGAGGUGGUGCCUCAGAGCCACUGAUCCUAUCAGUUAAGAGGAACAAAUAUAAUCACUGCCUUUCUAUGGAUUAAAAAAAAAAAUCAAAAGCCCAGAGAGAUAAAACCGCUUGUCAGGAUUGCAUAGUCAGGAAAAGGCAGAGGCUGACCUUGAACUCGGGUUCCUGACUGCCCCUUGCAAGCUAUUUUUAAUUUUAGCACAUUUCCUCUAGAAAGGCUGUUGGGAAAAUUAGGCAAAGUGCGCGAUGAGAACUGAGGCGGGUGGAGGAAGAGAGGAUGAGAGGCAGUUGGUAGAGAUUAAAGCUGACAUGUGAAUGUUUAUUUUUGUUUUCCAAAUGUAGAGAGUGGCUGGGGAGAAGAGGAGCAGGGAGGGAGAGGAAGAAGGGUGUUCUGGGGGCCUGGGGGACCUGAGGGACAGUUCUGAGGUCUCCAAGACAAAGUUUGGGCCCGGAAGGGUGAGUGCAGGUGUUGGUUUAUUGCUGGCCGCGUCCCUGGGGCCUGGCCGUUGGUGGCUCCCCCCAGUAAACGUCUGGAGUUGCCCCGCGGAGGCAGAGGUGCUGCGUGAAGUGUGAGGGGCAGUACCCCUAGAAGGAUGUAAAGCCAUCCCUGCUGGCCCAUGUGUGCUGGAGAGGGGAGGACAGACCUAGCAAGGGCUCGAGAAAGGCUGUUCCUUUCAGCCUUAGGUUAAAAUGCAGGCGGGGGUGCUCCAGGUGGUGGCUAGAGCCUAGCCGAGUGGAGGGGAGGCUGGACUGGCCCCAGAAAUGUGGCCCCAAGGGGCCGUGCACGGGCUUCCAGUUGGUACCAGAGCACGGACAGUACUGAGUGUGCGCGGGACGUGACUGGGCAGUGUGGGACAUGUGCAGUGAGCCCAGAACAGUGUGUGUGUGCUGGACAGUAGUGGGCAGGAGGGGCAGGGAGGGAAAGCAGUGUGGGACAUGAUGGGCUUUGCAGGAAGCUUUUCCCGUGUAUCUCUAUCCUCACGCGAGAAAACAGACAAGGAGAUGAGGAGGAGAGGAGCCCCAGCAGGGCCUGGGCAGAUCCCUCCCUGGCUGUGGUUCUGGUCUUGUUGGGCUCCAUGCUGUGGCAGAUGAGGGCCAUGUGUGCCUGGGGCUCGGGGAUGACAGUGGAGGAUGA